ACUCCUACGGGAGGCAGCAGUGGGGAAUAUUGCACAAUGGGGGAAACCCUGAUGCAGCCAUGCCGCGUGUGUGAAGAAGGCCUUCGGUUGUAAAGCACUUUCAGUAGGGAGGAAGGUAGUGUAGUUAACACCUGCAUUAUUUGACGUUACCUACAGAAGAAGCACCGGCUAACUCCGUGCCAGCAGCCGCGGUAAUACGGAGGGGUGCGAGCGUUAAUCGGAAUUACUGGGCGUAAAGCGCAUGCAGGCGGCCUGUUAAGUCAGAUGUGAAAGCCCGGGGGCUUAACCUCGGAAUUGCAUUUGAAACUGGCAGGCUAGAGUCUUGUAGAGGGGGUAGAAGUUUCAGGUGUAGCGGUGAAAGUGCGUAGAGAUCUGAAGGAAUACC
Molecule: ribosomal RNA, 385 nt
Filed under: uncultured bacterium
Lineage: Bacteria
Description: bacterial SSU rRNA
Rfam family: Bacterial small subunit ribosomal RNA
Source: RNAcentral